AUUGAACGCUGGCGGCAGGCCUAACACAUGCAAGUCGAGCGGAUGAAGGGAGCUUGCUCCUGGAUUCAGCGGCGGACGGGUGAGUAAUGCCUAGGAAUCUGCCUGGUAGUGGGGGAUAACGUCCGGAAACGGGCGCUAAUACCGCAUACGUCCUGAGGGAGAAAGUGGGGGAUCUUCGGACCUCACGCUAUCAGAUGAGCCUAGGUCGGAUUAGCUAGUUGGUGGGGUAACGGCCUACCAAGGCGACGAUCCGUAACUGGUCUGAGAGGAUGAUCAGUCACACUGGAACUGAGACACGGUCCAGACUCCUACGGGAGGCAGCAGUGGGGAAUAUUGGACAAUGGGCGAAAGCCUGAUCCAGCCAUGCCGCGUGUGUGAAGAAGGUCUUCGGAUUGUAAAGCACUUUAAGUUGGGAGGAAGGGCAGUAAGUUAAUACCUUGCAGUUUUGACGUUACCAACAGAAUAAGCACCGGCUAACUUCGUG
Molecule: ribosomal RNA, 484 nt
Filed under: uncultured bacterium
Lineage: Bacteria
Description: partial 16S ribosomal RNA
Rfam family: Bacterial small subunit ribosomal RNA
Source: RNAcentral